CUACGGGAGGCUCCAGUGAGGAAUAUUGCACAAUGGGGGGAACCCUGAUGCAGCAACGCCGCGUGGAGGAUGACGCAUUUCGGUGUGUAAACUCCUUUUAUAUGUCAAGAAAAUGACGGUAGCAUAUGAAUAAGCACCGGCUAACUCCGUGCCAGCAGCCGCGGUAAUACGGAGGGUGCAAGCGUUACUCGGAAUCACUGGGCGUAAAGGACGCGUAGGCGGGUUGGAAGGUCAGGUGUGAAAUCCUACAGCUUAACUGUAGAACUGCACUUGAAACUUCUAAUCUAGAGUAUGGGAGGGGGAGAUGGAAUUAGUGGUGUAGGGGUAAAAUCCGUAGAUAUCACUAGGAAUACCUAAAGCGAAGGCGAUCUCCUGGAACAUUACUGACGCUAAGGCGUGAAAGCGUGGGGAGCAAACAGGAUUAAAUACCCCGGUAGUC
RNAcentral lists this ribosomal RNA (439 nucleotides) under uncultured bacterium. Its description in RNAcentral is "partial 16S ribosomal RNA". It matches the Rfam family "Bacterial small subunit ribosomal RNA", at positions 339 to 795 of the family's 1533-position model. The record is from RNAcentral.